AAUAUUGGACAAUGGGCGCAAGCCUGAUCCAGCCAUGCCGCGUGUGUGAAGAAGGNCUNNUGGUUNUNAAGCACUUUAAGCGANNNNNAGGCUACUUUAGUUAAUCCCUAGAGAUAGUGGACGUUACUCGCAGAAUAAGCACCGGCUCACUCUGUGCCAGCAGCCGCGGUAAUACAGAGGGUGCAAGCGUUAAUCGGAUUUACUGGGCGUAAAGCGCGCGUAGGCGGCUAAUUAAGUCAAAUGUGAAAUCCCCGAGCUUAACUUGGGAAUUGCAUUCGAUACUGGUUAGCUAGAGUGUGGGAGAGGAUGGUAGAAUUCCAGGUGUAGCGGUGAAAUGCGUAGAGAUCUGGAGGAAUACCGAUGGCGAAGGCAGCCAUCUGGCCUAACACUGACGCUGAGGUGCGAAAGCAUGGGGAGCAAACAGG
This 425-nucleotide ribosomal RNA is filed under the name uncultured bacterium. Its description in RNAcentral is "partial 16S ribosomal RNA". It matches the Rfam family "Bacterial small subunit ribosomal RNA", at positions 360 to 776 of the family's 1533-position model. The record is from RNAcentral.